This 465-nucleotide ribosomal RNA is filed under the name uncultured bacterium. RNAcentral describes it as "partial 16S ribosomal RNA". It matches the Rfam family "Bacterial small subunit ribosomal RNA", at positions 28 to 507 of the family's 1533-position model. The record is from RNAcentral.
GACGAACGCUGGCGGCGUGCUUAACACAUGCAAGUCGAACGGAAAGGCCCUGCUUGCAGGGUACUCGAGUGGCGAACGGGUGGGUAACACGUGGGUGAUCUGCCCUCCACUUCGGGAUAAGCCUUGGAAACGGGGUCUAAUAGCGGAUAGGAGCCACGUUUUGCGGGAUGGUUGGAAAGUUUUUUCGGUGUAGGGCGAGUGCGCGGCCUAUUGUCUUGUUGGUUGGGUGAUGGCCUACCAGGGCGGCGACGGGUGGCCGGCCUGUGGGGGUGAGCGGCCACACUGAGACUGACGGGCGGCCGCGCCGCCUACGGGUGGAAGCAGUGCGGAAUAUUGAUCAAUGGGCACAGGCCUGAUGCAGCAGCGCCGCGUGGGGGAUGACGCCCUUCGGGUUGUAGAAAACUUGCGCGAGGAACGAAGCUUUUUGUGACGGUACCUAGAUAAGAAGCACCGGCUAACUACGUG